GAUGAACGCUGGCGGCGUGCCUAACACAUGCAAGUCGAACGAGAUCUUCGGGUCUAGUGGCGCACGGGUGCGUAACGCGUGGGAAUCUGCCCUUUGGUUCGGAAUAACAGUUGGAAACGACUGCUAAUACCGGAUGAUGACGAAAGUCCAAAGAUUUAUCGCCAGAGGAUGAGCCCGCGUAGGAUUAGCUAGUUGGUGUGGUAAAGGCGCGCCAAGGCGACGAUCCUUAGCUGGUCUGAGAGGAUGAUCAGCCACACUGGGACUGAGACACGGCCCAGACUCCUACGGGAGGCAGCAGUGGGGAAUAUUGGACAAUGGGCGAAAGCCUGAUCCAGCAAUGCCGCGUGAGUGAUGAAGGCCUUAGGGUUGUAAAGCUCUUUUACCCGGGAUGAUAAUGACAGUACCGGGAGAAUAAGCUCCGGCUAACUCCGUGCCAGCCGCCGCCGUAA
Molecule: ribosomal RNA, 449 nt
Filed under: uncultured bacterium
Lineage: Bacteria
Description: partial 16S ribosomal RNA
Rfam family: Bacterial small subunit ribosomal RNA
Source: RNAcentral